GACGGAGGAGGCAAGCGUUAUCCGGAAUUAUUGGGCGUAAAGCGUCCGCAGGCGGUUUUUUAAGUCUGUUGUCAAAGCCCACAGCUCAACUGUGGAUCGGCAAUGGAAACUGGGGAACUUGAGUGUGGUAGGGGUAGAGGGAAUUCCCGGUGUAGCGGUGAAAUGCGUAGAUAUCGGGAAGAACACCAGUGGCGAAGGCGCUCUACUGGGCCACAACUGACGCUGAGGGACGAAAGCUAGGGGAGCGAAA
This 250-nucleotide ribosomal RNA is filed under the name uncultured bacterium. RNAcentral's name for it is "partial 16S ribosomal RNA". It matches the Rfam family "Bacterial small subunit ribosomal RNA", at positions 524 to 773 of the family's 1533-position model. The record is from RNAcentral.